Molecule: ribosomal RNA, 496 nt
Filed under: uncultured bacterium
Lineage: Bacteria
Description: bacterial SSU rRNA
Rfam family: Bacterial small subunit ribosomal RNA
Source: RNAcentral
AUUGAACGCUGGCGGCAUGCCUAACACAUGCAAGUCGAACGGAGGUAGGGGCAACUCUACUUCAGUGGCGGACGGGUGAGGAAUGCGUCGGAAUCUACCCUAUGGUGGGGGAUAACACAGGGAAACUUGUGCUAAUACCGCAUAAUGUCGAGAGACCAAAGCAGGGGACCGCAAGGCCUUGCGCGAUAGGAUGAGCCGACGCCCGAUUAGCUAGUUGGUAGGGUAAAGGCCUACCAAGGCGACGAUCGGUAGCUGGUCUGAGAGGAUGAUCAGCCACACUGGGACUGAGACACGGCCCAGACUCCUACGGGAGGCAGCAGUGGGGAAUAUUGGACAAUGGGCGCAAGCCUGAUCCAGCAAUGCCGCGUGUGUGAAGAAGGCCUGCGGGUUGUAAAGCACUUUUGUUCGGGAAGAAAUCAUGCUGGUUAAUACCUGGUAUGGAUGACGGUACCGAAAGAAUAAGCACCGGCUAACUUCGUGCCAGCAGCCGCGGUAA